CCCUUAGAUGUUCUGGGCCGCACGCGUGCUACACUGAGUGGAUCAGCGGGUCAGGUUGCGCGAAAGCGUUUCCUAAUCUUUAAAUCCGCUCGUGAUGGGGAUUGACGGUUGCAAUUUUCUGUCAUGAACGAGGAAUACCUUGUAAGCGCGGGUCAUCAUCCCGCGCUGAAUACGUCCCUGCCCUUUGUACACACCGCCCGUCGCUCCUACCGAUUGAGUGGUCCGGUGAGGCUUUGGGAUCUGAGCGGAAAGUGCGUUUCGCUGUUUCUGCUCGGAAAACUCAGUCGAACCUUAUCAUUUAGAGGAAGGAGAAGUCGUAACA
RNAcentral lists this ribosomal RNA (322 nucleotides) under uncultured eukaryote. Its description in RNAcentral is "partial 18S ribosomal RNA". It matches the Rfam family "Eukaryotic small subunit ribosomal RNA", at positions 1470 to 1796 of the family's 1831-position model. The record is from RNAcentral.